GCACGGAGUUAGCCGGCGCUUCCUCACCCGGUACCGUCAAGCUCGCCAAAGCAAGCCAUUCGUCCCGGGCAACAGUGGUUUACACCCCGAAGGGCGUCCUCCCACACGCGGCGUCGCUGCGUCAGCCUUUCGGCCAUUGCGCAAGAUUCCCCACUGCUGCCUCCCGUAGGAGUCUGGGCCGUCUCUCAGUCCCAAUGUGGCUGGCCAUCCUCUCAGACCAGCUACCCGUCGUCGCCUUGGUGCGCCGUUACCGCACCAACUAGCUGAUAGGCCGCGAGCCCCUCGAAAUGCCUCUCACGAGUUUCCUCUCCAAACCAUGCGGUCCAGAGAACGUAUGCGGUAUUACCCGGCCGUUGGGCCGGCUAUCCCCCGCGUCUCGGUAGGUCGCUCACGUGUUACGCACCCGUCUGCCGGUUGAGUAUUGCUACCCCCCCUUGACUUGCAUGUGUUAAGCACGCCGCCAGCGUUCGUU
RNAcentral lists this ribosomal RNA (472 nucleotides) under uncultured bacterium. Its description in RNAcentral is "partial 16S rRNA". The record is from RNAcentral.